GAUGAUUUUAGACACUGCAAUGAGAAGCAAGAGCUCAUUUGAUUUCAGUAAGGUCCCAGCUGACUUCACGCAAGACCAGACUUUGCCCUUCCUCCUCUCAGCCUACUCAACGUGAAUAUAAUGAGGAUGAAGACCUUUGUAAUGACCUUUUCCCACAUAAUGAAUAGCCAUUGGGAGACACACUUCUGAACACCACCACUGGAAAAUCACACAUGCUGAAAUGGGAGAGUUCCCUGACCCCCUUGCAGGAUAUGUGACAGGAGUGUGGCUCAUCUGUUCAGCUGGAGUGCAUACUCAAACCCCUUAUGAGACAAGGAGUAUGCAGACAGAAGGUGCAGGAACUGGGAAGCAAAAUAUAAACUAGUUAAUUUGAUCUCCAAGAGUUAAGCGGUUUUAAUAUUACUGACAGUAAUAUCAGCAGUGGUGUUGGAACCCCAUGAUCUCAUGAAUCAUAGAUAGCAACUGCUUACUGGACAUUGAAGCUUUAUGGCCAGCUGCCAAAAAAAUAAAUGCACCUUAAUUUUUAAAUUGAAUUAUAAAGCCAAAAAUAUCCUAUUGCUCUAUUCCUCUUAUUUUGGUGUUUACAUGUGACUUUAUAAUUUCCUUCACUUGAAAGAUUUUAACUUUAAAGGAAACUUUACUCUGAACGUUUAGGACAAUUCAUAGAUAAUCAAAUUGAUUAUCAUGUUUUCAAUGUUAAAUAUUACUUCAUAUGUCUUUUUACAACCUUCAGAAUAAGAAAGCCAGCUAUGAAAUACCAAGUCUUGACUAGUAGUGCCACCUAGCAUCACAAAGAAAAAGUUGUUCAACUACUUUGCAAAGCAUUGGAAAUUUAUCAAAUCAUCUAAUAUACUAUCUCCUUGAUCCUUAAUCCAGAGGAAAAUAAGCAGACAUGAUCAAUUAGAAGAAAUGUACACAAAACCUAUGUAAUUUUAGAGAUAGUAUACUACAUAUUAUGAAUGUUUGUGUUUUAGUAAGAUGUAGUUAUGAGAUGUAGCAGUAAGAUAUAAUUUCUGGUUUGCUGACUGAUAUGCUACCGGUUUUUCCUACAAUUUAAGAAAACAUAUUGGGAUUCAAAUGAAUAAAAAUAAUGUUUGUGUACUGAAA
This 1107-nucleotide long non-coding RNA is filed under the name Homo sapiens (human). RNAcentral's name for it is "HSALNT0326394". The record is from RNAcentral. Lineage: Eukaryota; Metazoa; Chordata; Mammalia; Primates; Hominidae.